Molecule: ribosomal RNA, 494 nt
Filed under: uncultured bacterium
Lineage: Bacteria
Description: partial 16S ribosomal RNA
Rfam family: Bacterial small subunit ribosomal RNA
Source: RNAcentral
GACGAACGCUGGCGGCGCGCUUAACACAUGCAAGUCGAACGGAAAGGCCUGCUUUCCCUUGUGGAUUGCGGGUACUCGAGUGGCGAACGGGUGAGUAACACGUGAGUGAUCUGCCCCCAACUUGGGUAUAAGCCUGGGAAACUGGGUCUAAUUCCCGAUAGGACUGCAGGGUGGUGCCUGUGGUGGAAAACGAUUUUCUAGUGGUUGGGGAUGAGCUCGCGGCCUAUCAGCUUGUUGGUGGGGUAAUGGCCUACCAAGGCGGCGACGGGUAGCCGGCCUGAGAGGGUGGAAGGCAACAUUGGGACUGAGAUACGGCCCAGACUCCUACGGGAGGCAGCAGUGGGGAAUAUUGCACAAUGGGCGGAAGCCUGAUGCAGCGACGCCGCGUGGGGGAUGACGGCCUUCGGGUUGUAAACUCCUUUCGACCGCGAGGAAGCCACCUGGUUGGAAGGGUGGUGACGGUAGUGGUAGAAGAAGCACCGGCUAACUACGUG